AUACGUAGGGGGCGAGCGUUGUCCGGAAUUAUUGGGCGUAAAGGGUUCGCAGGCGGUCUGAUAAGUCAGAUGUGAAAGGCUAUGGCUUAACCAUAGUAAGCAUUUGAAACUGUCAGACUUGAGUUAAGGAGAGGAAAGUGGAAUUCCUAGUGUAGCGGUGAAAUGCGUAGAUAUUAGGAGGAAUACCAGUGGCGAAGGCGACUUUCUGGACUUAAACUGACGCUGAGGAACGAAAGCGUGGGGAGCAAACAGGAUUAGAUACCCUGGUAGUCCACGCCGUAAACGAUGAGUGCUAGGUGUUGGGGGUCAAACCUCGGUGCCGCAGCUAACGCAUUAAGCACUCCGCCUGGGGAGUACGUACGCAAGUAUGAAACUCAAAUGAAUUGACGGGG
This 392-nucleotide ribosomal RNA is filed under the name uncultured bacterium. RNAcentral describes it as "partial 16S ribosomal RNA". It matches the Rfam family "Bacterial small subunit ribosomal RNA", at positions 523 to 918 of the family's 1533-position model. The record is from RNAcentral.